CCUACCGGUCGAGCCCGCAAGGCCGAGUUGAGCUUUGCAAGCCGGAGGUCACCGGUUCGAUCCCGGUACGCUCCA
Molecule: transfer RNA, 75 nt
Filed under: Gaiellaceae bacterium
Lineage: Bacteria; Bacillati; Actinomycetota; Thermoleophilia; Gaiellales; Gaiellaceae
Description: tRNA-Ala
Source: RNAcentral